UGAAGAUCUAAAAAGAAGCAACUACUGAAGUGUGGUGCAGACUCUAAAAGGAGGGCAAUGUAGACACCAGCAAGGAGCCACAGAGUGCGCCACAAGGCAGAAGAGGAAGGGCAGAGCAGGAGAGAGAAAGCCCAAGGAAAAGGAGCAGAGGGAGAGAACAUCACCAAGAACUGAAGGGAAGCGCGUCCACAGGCAAAGAGGAGAGUCCACAGACAGGGGGAGCUGUGAGCCAUGCCCCACAGCUCUGACAGCAGUGACUCCAGUAGUUUCAGCCAGUCAUCUUCAUCCAGCAAACAGGAGUCUUCUGAUGACAUGAGGAAAGUACAAAGAAGGGAAAAAAACCGCAUUGCAGCCCAGAAGAGCCGGCAGAGACAGACACAGAAAGCAGACACCCUGCACUUGGAGAGUGAAGACUUGGAGAGGCAGAACGCUGCUUUACGCCGGGAAAUCAAACAACUGACAGAGGAAAUGAAGCACUUCUCCACGAUGCUGAAUUCCCAUGAGACUCACUGCUCCAUCCUCCAUACACAGCCCCCAGCACCCUCUGAAGUCCUUUACACCCCCGUCCCCUUUCCCCAGGCCCACAUCAGUUCCCCGAUUUUCCAGCACUGACACCGACUGCUAGGACUGGAAACGCUUGCAGACCCCACACCAAGGCAGAAAUGCAAGUCCUUGCACGCUUCACAACUAUGGACAGUUUGGAGGUUUCCCAUCCAUCUGUUGGUAGAUGCUGCCCUGAAUAAGGAAGAAAAAUGCUUAGAAUGUGCUCCUUGGGCAGAAACAGGGGCAUGUCAGGGCUACCUGCAGGAAGCUGUAUUUGUGAAUUAGCUCCAGAGUCAAUGGAACCAAUACCUCACUGUUAUGCAUUUGCACUGAAAUACUCCUUCCAGAGGCUUUUCUGAUGCAGAAGUUUCUUCCUCAGAAAACAUAUGCUAAUCAGCCUACAAAUGAUGCAUAAUUUAGGGUAGACAGUGCUGAAAGUUACAUUGGUGCUGCUAUUGGGAGUUUGAAAUCUUUGC
Molecule: RNA transcript, 1019 nt
Organism: Varanus komodoensis (Komodo dragon)
Lineage: Eukaryota; Metazoa; Chordata; Lepidosauria; Squamata; Varanidae
Gene: BATF
Gene name: basic leucine zipper ATF-like transcription factor
Exons: 4
Source: RefSeq, a predicted model, not a curated record